AACGAACGCUGGCGGCAUGCCUAACACAUGCAAGUCGAACGAGACCUUCGGGUCUAGUGGCGCACGGGUGCGUAACGCGUGGGAACCUGCCCUUAGGUUCGGUAUAACUCCCCGAAAGGGGUGCUAAUACCGGAUAAUGUCUUCGGACCAAAGAUUUAUCGCCUUUGGAUGGGCCCGCGUUGGAUUAGCGAGUUGGUAGGGUAAAAGCCUACCAAGGCGACGAUCCAUAGCUGGUCUGAGAGGAUGAUCAGCCACACUGGGACUGAGACACGGCCCAGACUCCUACGGGAGGCAGCAGUGGGGAAUAUUGGACGAGGGGCGAAGGCCUGAUCCAGCAAUGCCGCGUGAGUGAUGAAGGCCUUAGGGUUGUAAAGCUCUUUUACCCGGGAUGAUAAUGACAGUACCGGGAGAAUAAGCACCGGCUAACUCCGUG
Molecule: ribosomal RNA, 433 nt
Filed under: uncultured bacterium
Lineage: Bacteria
Description: partial 16S ribosomal RNA
Rfam family: Bacterial small subunit ribosomal RNA
Source: RNAcentral